This 4077-nucleotide long non-coding RNA is filed under the name Eutrema salsugineum. Its description in RNAcentral is "long non-coding RNA (ESAL_LNC000169)". Lineage: Eukaryota; Viridiplantae; Streptophyta; Magnoliopsida; Brassicales; Brassicaceae. The record is from RNAcentral.
AUAAUUGCGAAACGAGACUGCAAUACUCCAAAAGCACGUUCGACAUCUUUGCGGUAGGAUUCUUGACAUGAAGCAAACAAUCGGGUCUUUGGAUCUUGCGGUAGGGGAAUCGAUUUUAUGAAAGUUGCCCAUUUUGGAUAGAUACCGUCAGUGAGGUAGUAUGCCAAACGGUAUUCGUUUCUAUUGAUAUAGUACUUAACUCUUGGAGCUCGACCUUGUAAAAUGUCAUCAAAAACCGGGGAGCGUUCAAGAACAUUAAGGUCGUUUAACGUACCUGGAGGUCCGAAAAUUGCGUGCCAUAUCCAUAGAUCAUGUGAUGCCACCGCCUCUAAGACGAUUGUUGGUUUUCCUGAACCACGUGUAUAUUGUCCUUUCCAAGCGGUUGGACAAUUUUUCCACUCCCAAUGCAUACAGUCGAUGCUUCCAAUCAUUCCCGGGAAUCCACGUGACUCUCCGACAUCAAGUAGGCGUAUUAGAUCAUCUCGGGUGGGUCUUCUUAGGUAUUCAUCUCCGAAACAAGAGAUAAUUCCUUCAGUGAAAUUUUCUAAACAAGAAAUAGCUGUACUCUCACCUAGCCGAAGGUACUCGUCAACCGCAUCUGCCGCAGUGCCAUACGCCAUCAUACGUAUUGCCGCUGUACAUUUCUGUAUGCAGAGAGGCUAACCCUUCCAACAGCAUCUCUCCUUUGUUGAAAAAAAGCUAGUUCCGCUGAUAGUCGAUCAACAAUACGCAGGAACAACGUCUUUCUCAUCCUAAAACGGCGGCGAAAUAGAUGAGGAGGAUAUGUUGCAUCGUCACUAAAAUAGUCGUUCCAUAACCGUUGAUGGCCUUCUUCACGUGCUCUUUCAAUAUAUGCUCUUUUUUCUUCCUUUUUGGCAUUGGAGCGGUAUGCUGAUGUAGUAAUUCGUUGAAUGCAUCUUCAAAUUUUUCUUCCAAGAUAUUAUCAAAAGUUUCAUCAAAGUAGUCAUCAAUAUCGACAUCAAUUGGGGUGUUUGAAGAAGAUGCCAUGUUGAAGAUGAAAAUCUAGAGUAUGGUUUAGGAAAAAAAGGGACAAGUGUUUGUUUUGACUGAAAGAAUUUUUUUAGGCUGAGAGAAAGAAGUGGUUGUUUUGAGAGAAAGAAGGCUAAGUUGUUUGUGUGAUAUGGUAAUGAGUGUGAUCGAUCUUUAUAUAGAGAAGUAGAAAAAAUAUCUACACACGAUUGUGUGGCUUCCAAACAAGAUUCUCGGUCCAAUAAUUUAACUUUAUAAAAUUAUCACUAACAAUAUACAACAUAAAAAUAUAAACCAUUCGUGGUCACAGACAGAAUACAACAAAGAAAUAUGGUCCCUCCACUCAGUGUUGUAUCCGUUCACGGGUUUCCACUAUUUGGCCGUGCAAUGAGUACCGUAUACGAUCACCAACCUGUACACAUUACGAUCAGAAAAAGUCACAUAAGGCACAUAACUUUGCAUUAAACAUUAAAUAGCACCGUAUUCAUAUAUUACCACUUAAAAUAGCACACGUUAAGAAGACUAAAAUAGCACAAGUUAAGAACACUAAAAUGAUUAUGACAAAGUCAGCAUAACAACACGUACAAGCUCUUAACUUAUAUUAUCACAUAAAUUCAUCAAUAAGCUUGUCCCUAAAAUCAACUUCUUUCUCAGAAAGUGGGUCGGUUCUACUAAAAAGACUCUCUAGCAUUCUCUGUCUAGACAGCGCCUUCUUCAAUUCCAAGUCUCUCAGUUUUAUUUCCCACAAGUCCUUGAAGUCCUCCAUUUUUUUUCCCUUCGUCUUUAGCAGGUCCGUUCACCUUCUUUUUAGCAGCAGAUUUUGCUGCUUUUACUCCUGGCGGGCGAGCUUCAGGAGAGCUGUCGUCAAGUAUUUCAGGUUGACUACCAUGAGCCGACGUCUCGUCCCCCUUUCUUCUUUUCUUUUUCGCAGAGUCUUUGUCCGCUGUUGAGGAGCACCACUUCUGGUCGUGCCGUAAUUCUGUCCAACAAUGCUCGAGGCCAAACUUAAACUGGUGAUCACUGAAAAAUAUUUGAUGAGCAGCUUUCACCAAAUCAUCAUCGUUUUGCCCACUUCUCUGCCCUUUCACAGCCGUUUCAUAACAACCUACGAACUUGCUCACUUGGUCGUUGAUUCUACCCCACCUCUGCUUGCAAUGAGGUGCCUCUCGGUCUGGUAAGUCGGCUAACUUCUUAUUGGCAUUAAACAAGAGCUGAAUACGCUUCCAAAAAGCUUGAGCUUUUUGUUCAUUUCCCACCACCGGAUCCUUGCUGGUAUUUAACCAACAACUGAUCAAAACAAUGUCCUCCACUGGUGACCAUAUCCGCCUCUCCUUGCGAUCCUUGGAAGCCACCCGUGGGUCAUCAGUAGUUUCCUGACUACUAAAUGGAGGCAACUCUGAUGAAGUUAGAUCUAUGGUUUGAGAAAAAUAGAAAGGGUUUUCUGCUUGGCUUGUUAAAAGAUUAACAAAGCCCUGAGAGUUACCAAAAGCAUUCGAAGAAUCCAUACGGUAACUACAGAAUGGUUGAAAAGGGUAGAGGGAUAGAAGAAGAAAGGAACGGAUGAAGAACAAAAGAUGAAUAAGAUUGGUUUAUAAAGAGUUAGUACAUAAGUUAGGGUUUCAGUUAGUAAGAAAACGAGCAAUAAAUACACACCCAUUCUUGCAAUUACUCUUCAACAUACAAAUAGCAUUCAUCACAAAAUAAACCAACAAUUACUCUUCACCUAACAAAAAAGCAGACUAACCAAACAUUGAUGACAACCUAACCGAUUAUUCUAACCUAGUACUUUAAUGGUUAUUCUAACAUAGUACCAUAAAGCAUUGAUGAUUACUAACCUUGAUUCAAUGCUGAUAAGACUGAUCGCUGUUGUUCCCCUUAAAACCUCACCCAUAAGACUGAACCAACACGCCUGUUUGUUGUUCCCCGUAAAACCUCACCCAAAAAAAAAAAGGUGUGAGAAAAGAUCAACUAAUGCAUAAUAUAAUAUAUACAUGUCGAUGUGUAAAAAAAAAUAAGUACCUGGUUUGUACCAGCCGAUGUCCAUCUUCUUUCCACAAUCUAACCAAACCAAACAAUGUCGACAUAAUAGUAUAUCGCAAGCAAGAAUAUAUAACAGUCACUCAUAGCCUAAAUUAUAGUUAUAAAGUCUGGAAUAGCUAAUAAUUAGGGAAAUACAAUAAGUCUUCUACAAACAAAUUACAUUGCUUAGGCAAAUACAAUAAAAGUUUUACUACAAACAGACUCAUAUAUCUCUACCACUUAGACAUAUAUGAAAUGGUUGCAAAAACCAAUAGGACGAAGAGAAGGAAGAAACCGUCACCUCGGUUUGCAAAGGCAUGCUUCAGCUGUGAAACCUCACCUUGAAGGACUCGUACUUCUUCCUUUACUUCGCCAACAGCUGGGUCGGAAGCCACAACCCCUGUGUCUCCUUGGUUUGCAAGCUCCUCCUUCAUGCGAGCAACUUCACCUUGAAGAAGGCGAACAUGUGUUUCCAAAUGUAGAUGUUUCCCCUUUGCCUCAUCAAGCCGUAUCCUGUAUCUCUCCAUCUGCUCUGUCACACCAUCAUCCCACCAUUGAAAUAUGUGCUCAAAAGUCCCCUACAAAACAAUAAAGUGUUAUCAAUCUAAUAAACAGCAAACUAAUCAUGAUAAAGCAACCAAAGUUCACCCUUAAUUACCUCAUUCAAGUACUUCGGACACUUGUAGUACCGGCGGCCAGGAAAAACUGUGGAAUCAGCACUCAUUGCUUCAAGCUUCAACCGCAUCCCGCAGAAACACUUCUCCUGAAUUCCGUAGUUGGCAUCGGAAUAUGCCCACCUCAAAUCCUCCUCUGGCCCUUCAGAAGAUGUUUCUGAAUAGCUGAUCGGCAUUCUUUCUGCACAAAAUCGAUAACAGUUUAUCACCAACCUCAAACCUAAAACCAAGAAUCAGAAUUCAUACGCAUAGACUACUCUCAUCAAACAAACCGUAAACCCAUAUCAACUACUAACCAUGAAUCAUCCAUUUCAAUCGCAAACCAUAUCAACUAUGAAUCAUCCAAUUCACUCGCAAAUUAGUUCAAGUUGGGGUUUCACAUAUUCGCAAUCAA